AGAGUUUGAUCCUGGCUCAGAUUGAACGCUGGCGGCAUGCCUUACACAUGCAAGUCGAACGGCAGCACAGGUGCUUGCACCUGGUGGCGAGUGGCGAACGGGUGAGUAAUAUAUCGGAACGUACCCAGUAGUGGGGGAUAACUAUCCGAAAGGAUAGCUAAUACCGCAUACGAUCUACGGAUGAAAGCAGGGGAUCUUCGGACCUUGUGCUAUUGGAGCGGCCGAUAUCUGAUUAGCUAGUUGGUGAGGUAAAAGCUCACCAAGGCGACGAUCAGUAGCUGGUCUGAGAGGACGACCAGCCACACUGGAACUGAGACACGGUCCAGACUCCUACGGGAGGCAGCAGUGGGGAAUUUUGGACAAUGGGCGCAAGCCUGAUCCAGCAAUGCCGCGUGAGUGAAGAAGGCCUUCGGGUUGUAAAGCUCUUUUGUCAGGGAAGAAAAGGUGCGCUCUAACAUAGCGUACUGAUGACGGUACCUGAAGAAUAAGCACCGGCUAACUACGUGCCAGCAGCCGCGGUAAUACGUAGGGUGCAAGCGUUAAUCGGAAUUACUGGGCGUAAAGCGUGCGCAGGCGGUUUUAUAAGUCUGAUGUGAAAUCCCCGGGCUCAACCUGGGAACUGCAUUGGAGACUGUAAGGCUAGAGUGUGUCAGAGGGGGGUAGAAUUCCACGUGUAGCAGUGAAAUGCGUAGAUAUGUGGAGGAAUACCGAUGGCGAAGGCAGCCCCCUGGGAUAACACUGACGCUCAUGCACGAAAGCGUGGGGAGCAAACAGGAUUAGAUACCCUGGUAGUCCACGCCCUAAACGAUGUCUACUAGUUGUCGGGACUUAAUUGUCUUGGUAACGCAGCUAACGCGUGAAGUAGACCGCCUGGGGAGUACGGUCGCAAGA
This 891-nucleotide ribosomal RNA is filed under the name Oxalobacteraceae bacterium AKB-2008-JO113. RNAcentral describes it as "bacterial SSU rRNA". It matches the Rfam family "Bacterial small subunit ribosomal RNA", at positions 8 to 893 of the family's 1533-position model. Lineage: Bacteria; Pseudomonadati; Pseudomonadota; Betaproteobacteria; Burkholderiales; Oxalobacteraceae. The record is from RNAcentral.